Long non-coding RNA from Hevea brasiliensis (rubber tree), 1315 nucleotides. RefSeq lists it as uncharacterized. The transcript has 5 exons. The record is from RefSeq and is a predicted model, not a curated record. NCBI's taxonomy places the organism in Eukaryota, Viridiplantae, Streptophyta, Magnoliopsida, Malpighiales, Euphorbiaceae.
UUUCUAAUAUGAUUGUUGUAUUAUUUAUUUAUUUUUUAUAUGUUUUGUCGCUGCUUCUUUAAAGCAUAACUAAAGUUAGUAGAUCAAACAUGGAGUAUGGCUGCUCUGUCAAGGAAGAAUUGGGAAUUACUUUGCAAAGGGAUCAGUAUAACCUACCAGAUUUUGAAAAUGAGUUCGCAAACGCAAAGUUCUGUGUUAUCAAAUCUUACAAUUGAAGAUGACAAUCAUAAGAGCAUUAAAUAUGAUGUAUGGGCAAGCACUCCAAAUGGCAAUAAUAAGCUAGGUGCAGCAUUCCGUGAUGCAGAACGAAGAUCAGGUCAAUGGAAGUGGACAAUUUGUUGAGAUGGUUGGGCAGAGACACUCAAGAGAUUGGACCAAUUUGAGGAGGAUGAGGACCAAAAUGCCUUAUUUCACUUCUCUACUGACCAUGACAAGGAGGGGAAAAUUAAGUGUGCGGUCCUUCCAAUAUAACAACUUGAGAUUAAUGAGGAAGGCGUUCAAAGAUUGGAACAAAAUGAUGUGGAUGAAGACCAAAAUGACUUUUUGAAUCAUAAGGGAGAGGAACCACACCUCCUCUAUCAAAUUCAAAAUCUCUAUCUCUUCCUUGUUGCCUAUGCUAACCAAACUCAAAAUGACAACAGAGGGAUGCAAAUUCAAGCAUGAAUAAUUGCAAAUAUGGACAUCAAAUUUCAAUGAUAAGCAUUGAAAAUUUUGGUGCAAUCAUUCUGGCGAAAGAACUCAAACUUACACUUGGAUCUAGUGCAAAGAUUGGCUACACUUGAUAAGGAAUCACAAGAAAGACGCAGAAGGCUAUAAUGUUUGAGAAGUUUCAUUCUGAAAAUCCAUUGCUUCUCAGUCUGUGCAGAACUCUCUUCCCUAACAACCAUAAGUCUGUCUGGUGUGGACCUCACACACUGGUUCAGCGCGACGUUUAUGCUCGUACAAGUUCUAUUCUUGCUGCUAUUGAAACUUUGAUGACGUAGGUACUUUUUGAUUACUUCACAUUGUCACUACAAAGGAUCUGAAGCAAUCUUAUGCUUUGCCUAGAUCAAAUAUAGCGUUACAGUGUGGAAUGUUUGACAUAAAUACCUACAUACAAAUGGAAUGUCCGGCCGUUAGUGGUUCUUCUCAGCUGAGGAUGAUAAUUUGCUCUGGUAUAGCUAGGGUGGGAAUGACAUACCUCAAGAUCGAUAACAUGAUCUUGAUUUACAAUCCUGUGUCAGCAUUUGUAGUGAUCUAUUGGGGAUGAGGGAAAAUAGAUACAUUGGUAUUUCUUAUUGCGAAAAUGAUUUAAUAUUGAGCAAAGAUUCUUGCA